GACAAACGCUGGCGGCGUGCUUAACACAUGCAAGUCGAACGCUGAAGCUCAGCUUUUGUUGGGUGGAUGAGUGGCGAACGGGUGAGUAACACGUGAGUAACCUGCCCCCUUCUUUGGGAUAACGCCCGGAAACGGGUGCUAAUACUGGAUAUUCACUGGUCUUCGCAUGGGGGUUGGUGGAAAGGGUUUUUCUGGUGGGGGAUGGGCUCGCGGCCUAUCAGCUUGUUGGUGGGGUGAUGGCCUACCAAGGCUUUGACGGGUAGCCGGCCUGAGAGGGUGACCGGUCACAUUGGGACUGAGAUACGGCCCAGACUCCUACGGGAGGCAGCAGUGGGGAAUAAUGCACAAUGGGCGCAAGCCUGAUGCAGCGACGCCGCGUGAGGGAUGGAGGCCUUCGGGUUGUGAACCUCUUUCGCUCAUGGUCAAGCCGCAACAAUGGUUGUGGUGAGGGUAGUGGGUAAAGAAGCGCCGGCUAACUACGUG
This 483-nucleotide ribosomal RNA is filed under the name uncultured bacterium. Its description in RNAcentral is "partial 16S ribosomal RNA". It matches the Rfam family "Bacterial small subunit ribosomal RNA", at positions 28 to 507 of the family's 1533-position model. The record is from RNAcentral.